This 737-nucleotide ribosomal RNA is filed under the name Microbacterium aurantiacum. RNAcentral describes it as "partial 16S ribosomal RNA". It matches the Rfam family "Bacterial small subunit ribosomal RNA", at positions 74 to 825 of the family's 1533-position model. Lineage: Bacteria; Bacillati; Actinomycetota; Actinomycetes; Micrococcales; Microbacteriaceae. The record is from RNAcentral.
CCAAGCUUGCUUGGUGGAUCAGUGGCGAACGGGUGAGUAACACGUGAGCAACCUGCCCUGGACUCUGGGAUAAGCGCUGGAAACGGUGUCUAAUACUGGAUAUGAGCUCUCAUCGCAUGGUGGGGGUUGGAAAGAUUUUUCGGUCUGGGAUGGGCUCGCGGCCUAUCAGCUUGUUGGUGAGGUAAUGGCUCACCAAGGCGUCGACGGGUAGCCGGCCUGAGAGGGUGACCGGCCACACUGGGACUGAGACACGGCCCAGACUCCUACGGGAGGCAGCAGUGGGGAAUAUUGCACAAUGGGCGGAAGCCUGAUGCAGCAACGCCGCGUGAGGGAUGACGGCCUUCGGGUUGUAAACCUCUUUUAGCAGGGAAGAAGCGAGAGUGACGGUACCUGCAGAAAAAGCGCCGGCUAACUACGUGCCAGCAGCCGCGGUAAUACGUAGGGCGCAAGCGUUAUCCGGAAUUAUUGGGCGUAAAGAGCUCGUAGGCGGUUUGUCGCGUCUGCUGUGAAAUCCCGAGGCUCAACCUCGGGCCUGCAGUGGGUACGGGCAGACUAGAGUGCGGUAGGGGAGAUUGGAAUUCCUGGUGUAGCGGUGGAAUGCGCAGAUAUCAGGAGGAACACCGAUGGCGAAGGCAGAUCUCUGGGCCGUAACUGACGCUGAGGAGCGAAAGGGUGGGGAGCAAACAGGCUUAGAUACCCUGGUAGUCCACCCCGUAAACGUUGGGAACUAGUUGUGG